GACUUCGGUAGGUGAGGCUACCGUAGGGAUAUGGAUUGCUACCGCGAAAUAAUGGAGACACUAUUAGAUGGUUAGCAGAGUAUGUCGACUAAGGCAUAAUCUAACGCAAUUUCACCGCCCUACGAUGCUAAAGCUUGGACGGUU
Molecule: small RNA, 144 nt
Filed under: uncultured Lachnoclostridium sp.
Lineage: Bacteria; Bacillati; Bacillota; Clostridia; Lachnospirales; Lachnospiraceae
Description: M-box riboswitch (ykoK leader)
Rfam family: M-box riboswitch aptamer (ykoK leader)
About the family: M-box riboswitch, also know as ykoK leader is described as a metaloregulatory RNA that sense divalent metals and function as a genetic control element of genes related to divalent metal transport in bacteria. It was first reported upstream of the B.subtilis ykoK gene and genes with related functions in other bacteria.
Source: RNAcentral